This 31-nucleotide non-coding RNA is filed under the name Homo sapiens (human). Lineage: Eukaryota; Metazoa; Chordata; Mammalia; Primates; Hominidae. The record is from RNAcentral.
UGACACAGAGGACACCCCUGCAGGCUGCAGU